RNAcentral lists this long non-coding RNA (2294 nucleotides) under Chinchilla lanigera (long-tailed chinchilla). RNAcentral's name for it is "lncRNA (ENSCLAG00000028969.1)". Lineage: Eukaryota; Metazoa; Chordata; Mammalia; Rodentia; Chinchillidae. The record is from RNAcentral.
AGGGACUUGAACUUUCAAACAUUCAUUACAGACAUGAGGGAGGGGGCUUCUGCAGCUGCUCCAGGAAGCGACAAGAGCAGCGGAUGAGUGUGCCAGGGGGAAGAGGGAGACUCUGAGGGGCAGGUACGGCAACGCGCCUCUCGCUCACUGUGACACUUCUUCAAACUUAAACACCUACUCUACUUUCCAGUCAUAACGCACAUGCUGAGACGAGGGAUCCCAGGGCAAGGGUUUUACCCAAAACCAGAAGAAAGCAUCCGACAUGCAGAGAGAACACAGAAGUCUCCAGAGGGUGAGGGGUGUCAGUGCCCUGGCUGUGGUGCGGAUGUCACGGUGAAUUCCCAGGCCCCCCUCGAGAGCUGCGUGUUCAACGAACGAAAGAUUUUUUUUUUUUUUUUGUCUUUUUUUUUUUUUUUUUUUGUCUUUUUGAGACAGGGUCUCACUGUGCAGUUCAGGCUGGCCUUGAGCUCACUUUGUAGCCCAGGCUGGUCUCCAACUCGAAACGAUCCUCCUGCCUCAGCCUCCCAAGUGCUGGGAUUACAGGCGUGCACCACCAUGUCCGGCCAGGACUGUUUUUUAAAGCUCCCUGGCGUGACGUCACAAGGUCGCACUGAUAGGGCAAGAGAGGCUCCAUUUUGUUUUUAACCCCACAGCAAGAGAAGUCACUUAACGUUCACUUAAGCUGGAGGGGACCCCAGCCGCCUUGGUCAGCGCUCUUAGCCCACUCAGAGCAGUCAUGAAAGGGAGUGGAACCGAUGGGACAGACUGGGAAGUGAGCUAAAAGCUGAACUGCGAUGGCCGUGUGGGAUUCGGCGUCCGACCUGCUGGGAGAAGUGAACUUGGUGAUAACUGUGACACUCUUCCGAGACCCCCACACAUGAGGUAAUGGCUACUAUGGAAAAGUAAAAUGUACCUAAACCGAGGGCGAGCCCCGGAGUGGCGCGGACACCUCUGGCUCCUGGCCGGAAACGUCCCUCAGCCGGCUCAGAGCUCCGUGUUGCGCUUUCCAGCUCUCCUGUGAGCGCGUUCAGGAUGCGCUUGCUCGCUGUGUCAGCACAACUGACCCGACCUGCUCCCCAGCGCCGGAAUUCGGCCUAGCGACGUGCGCCCCGGGCAGUGGGCGUUCCUGUUGCUGCAGCCCCUGCCCCAAGCAGCACCUGCCGGUCUUCGGACCUGGGCCAGGGCCCAGCUGGCCGGGUUGGGGCUGGGCUCAGGGCCCACGAGAGUCAUGGGGCCAGGCUGGGCUGCGCCAUCCCACUGCAGAGCACCCACCUCUCCCAGCUGUGUCCUUUCCGGCUUUCUAGCACCUUCCUGUUGGGGGACCCACACCCCAUACCCUGCUGUCAGAGGACAGCCUGGCCCACCCGCCAGCGCGGGACCCACACCGCCCUGGCACCUGUGCCUGGGGACAGCCUCGCACCACCCUCUGGCAGGUGGGACACAGCUGGUGCUCCAGUAGCUGCACUCCUCAGGUGGGGCGUCGGCCACACACAGCCUCUGAGCCCAAGGCGCUGAAGCCCAGCACCCGGCAGAGCCCAGGAGGGCGUCAGCCUCGGCCACCCCCGCGACCGCAGGCCGAGCGCUCGGUGUCCUCGUGUGAGCAGCACAGCGGCAGAGCUCCCUGACUCCCAGGGCCCCUGAACUUGUAAAGAUAAACGAACCCCUCCCUAGGUGUCUGCGACCCCCUGCACGUUCUCCUCCCCCACAGAAGGUCCCGCCUAAGAGGCGGGGCGCUGAGGCCCCCAGGCUGCUCCCCGCUGCGCCGCGGGACUCGGGGAGCCGGGACUGCGGGGAGCAGCGCCCCACCCGCCCCAGGCGCUGUGCUGAGCCAGGACAGCGCCCCUCUGGGCCCGGCCGACGCCCACCUGAGCCAAGCCCUGAGGUUCGCUCUUGGGAAGUGGCCGCCCAGGGUUGGGACAGCGACACCGAAGGUCCCCAGCGAAGAUGACCAUAGCCAGGGCGGCGGGGCCCUUGCAGCCACGCACUUCUGGGUGCUGAAACGGCUGGGGCCAACAGCCAGGGACGAGGAAGCCCAGGUCCCUCCCCGCGGGCCGGGCAGGUAGGUCCGAGGCGCCCGAGGCAAGGAGAGCGCCGGACGGGCGGGCACACUGCGCAGCGACUUUAUUCCUGGGUGCCAGCGAGCGGCAUCCGGCCAGUGUCUGUCCAUGGCGCCCUCUGCGUCCCUUGGCCGGCCGCCCCCUUUGUCCUGGGGCGGGAUCCACAGCCCCGGCAGGCGCCCCUCCCCUAGGCCGGCGUGAGGGGCCGGGGACAGGGCGCGGGCCGUUACCCGAGCG